CGGAAGGCUCCUGUAGGUGCUUGACAACGCGUGGGUGUAAGUUAUCUUGCACCCAGAACCCUAAACCCCAGGUCCUCGAGGCCCACACUAAGAUGUGUUGAACGCCAAUUGGUUACCGGGGGUUUCUUCCACGUCUUCCCCCUGUCAGAAAAAAGCUGUGAUGCCUUGUCUCGUACCUGCACGGUUUGUUGAAUUCAUAGCGCAAGCGGGGAGGAGCUCGUGGUUCGCCGCCUGCUUCUCGAGUCCCUUGCGCACAUCCCUUCCGUUUUG
Molecule: non-coding RNA, 270 nt
Filed under: Anthoceros angustus
Lineage: Eukaryota; Viridiplantae; Streptophyta; Anthocerotopsida; Anthocerotales; Anthocerotaceae
Source: RNAcentral